UCUAACUCAUUUUGAUUUCCAUUCUAAGACAAAGUAAAUACAUUAAUGGAAAUCUAGCUCAUUUUGAUUCUAAUUUAUACAAUUCAAGUAAAUAACUUAUUUUGAUUCUCAUUUCCUAUCCUCAUUCUAGCUCAUUCUGAUUCCUGCUCAUUCUAAUUCCAGCUCCAUUCUGAUUUUCGUUUAAUAAACACACCAUUGAUGUAGAGUCAAACUAGUAUAUGGCUACAUGAAGAACUACAUGAUAAAUCAUACAAAACCUAGAAAAGACUAUUGGCCUAAUUUGUAAAUAUAAUAAUGAGCAGCACGUGAUUACUAACAAAAUCAUGAGUUUAAAGCUCUAACAGUGGAGAUUUAGAUCUAAAAUUAAAGCCUCCCGCCAAACCCACCUUUUUUCAUCUAUAUAUACAUGCCAAAAUGUUUGAGAAAAAACCUUUGGCCAUCCUCUCAUUAAUAAGAGAAAAUUAGAACUGGAAUUUUACUAAAUUCAAAUAAACAAAUCUAACAAGAGUGUCGAAGUGCUUUCCCAAGUACAAGUUCGAGUUAAAUUAGUGGAUAAGUGAAGAAUGAUCAGGAAUAAAUAGUAGGUUUGUUUAAAUUAUAAACUGGACUAUUAAAGGAUUUUGUAUGCUUCAUAUACAAUGAUAAACAAAUUUAAUACAUAUAACGUCAGUCCAUGUUAGAUAAAAUAUUUUGCUAAAUUAUAGCUUAAAGUCUAAUGCACCCAUAAGAUAAGAAUAUUUGAAUUAAAUAACAUAAUAAAAAUAAAAUUAUGAAAAAAUUAUAAUAAUUUUUGUAAUAGAACUAUUGGGGUUACAUAAUUUGUUAUGAGUGUAAGAAAAAGUACCAUAAUAUUUAUAAAAAAAAAGUAAAUAUAUAGAGUGUAACGUGUUAAAUGAAAUUUGAUAAUAAAUGUAAAAAAAAAAAAAAAAAUACCUUGAUACUUAAAUGUCUAUUGUAAUUAAAAAGGAGUUUAAGGCUCUAAAUUAAACAUGUCAAUCGUUUGGUCUCAUAAUAAUAGCAAAGAGGGGGUAUUGUGACAUACGUGCAAUAUAGAGCAAAACAUUUGUAGAUAUGAAAUAGUAUAAGGAUAUAAAAAUAGUAAAUGUGCCUAUGGAUGGAGGCAGAAAUUAGUUUAAUAAUUAUGGGGAGAAAUUUAAAUAAAAAUGAGGGCAAGGGGGUUACGUAAAAAUUUAGAGUGAUGCUGUCACAAAAGACAAAAGAAGUUUUAUGGUGCCGUGUCGCAGCAUAACUGGACCCUUCGUGGUGGGUCUUGCUUGUCUACGCGAAAAAAAAUUUCAAGCAUUUGUGGGAUGGGAAAUUGGGAUCACAAUGGCCAUUAAAAUAAUUGUGUCUCAAUUCUCAAAUGGGAAUCAUGAUGUCUCAAAUCGGUUAAUUAAUAUAAAUUAAUUACUUUUAAUUAAUCGUGCGCCAUUGUUCUUAUCCUCCUUGGUUAAUUAAUUAAUUAUUCAUUCAUUCAUUCAUUCAUUCAUUCUUGUGAUCAAAGCAGCAGCCGCAGUGUUUUAAUUGUUUAAGUCAGAUUAUUACAAGAAGAUCAUGCACGUGCAUUCCCUUAAGAAGCAUUUGAAGAUCAUUGGAGAAGGAAGUAUACUUUCUUUUAAUUUAUCCUCACAACUAAUAAUUAAUCGUUAUAAUAAUUAUAAUAAUGAUGGCCAUUUUCCCAUGCACUUUGUUUGGUAUCCUUUAAUUUGCGCAGUAAAGCUCACCAAUUCUUUAACCGAUAACAGGACAAAGAAUCAAAUGUUCUUUUCAUUUUUUUAUUUUCCCUCUCUUUAAUACAAAAAAAAUAAAAGAUUUGAGGAAAUAUAGAGUAACAUGGUGGAUAUCAAAGAAAGAUUCGUAAAAGAAGAAAAAUAAGGAGUGAAUAAGAAACAAGUAAUGUUAUAAGGAACACUCUUUAAGAUUUUUUUUUUUUUUUUUCCUAAUGUUAACGAUGAUAAUUGAUGGAAUCGAUGAGAUGAGGAUCUAAUUAAUUAAUUAAGCAGCUUAAAGCAAUUACUGAUCAUCACUAAUACGUCCACCAAAUUACCUGGCAAGAUUUGAGAGCACCUUGCAUGCAGCCAUAAGCUCAAAACAGUAGUGAUAUUUUGGUGGACAUAAUAGUGACAGUGUAUGGUUGAUUAAAUUAACCUUCAGAAUUCAAGAAGUGUUUCCAUUAAACAUCCACUUACUUGAGUUUUACUCAAGAAGUGCUCAAACAGAUCAUAAGAGAGUCUAAAUUCUUGAAUCUUAUCAAAUUAUAU
RNAcentral lists this long non-coding RNA (2261 nucleotides) under Citrus x clementina. RNAcentral describes it as "Citrus clementina (C. clementina) long non-coding RNA (CCLE_LNC004568)". The record is from RNAcentral. Lineage: Eukaryota; Viridiplantae; Streptophyta; Magnoliopsida; Sapindales; Rutaceae.